UGCGCAGGCGGUUCGCAAAGUCUGAUGUGAAAGCCCCGGGCUCAACCUGGGAACUGCAUUGGAAACUAACGGGCUCGAGUGUGGCAGAGGGGGUGGAAUUCCACGUGUAGCAGUGAAAUGCGUAGAGAUGUGGAGGAACACCGAUGGCGAAGGCAGCCCCCUGGGCUAACACUGACGCUCAGGCACGAAAGCGUGGGAGCAAACA
Molecule: ribosomal RNA, 205 nt
Filed under: uncultured bacterium
Lineage: Bacteria
Description: partial 16S ribosomal RNA
Rfam family: Bacterial small subunit ribosomal RNA
Source: RNAcentral